AUACGUAGGGGGCGAGCGUUGUCCGGAAUGAUUGGGCGUAAAGGGCGCGUAGGCGGCGCGGUAAGUCUGGAGUGAAAGUCCUGCUUUCAUGGUGGGAAUUGCUUUGGAUACUGCCGCGCUUGAGUGCAGGAGAGGUUAUCGGACUUCCCGGUGUAGCGGUGAAAUGCGUAGAGAUUGGGAGGAACACCAGUGGCGAAGGCGACUUACUGGACUGUAACUGACGCUGAGGCGCGAAAGUGUGGGGAGCAAACAGGAUUAGAUACCCUGGUAGUCCACACUGUAAACGAUGAAUGCUAGGUGUAGGGGGUAUCGACCCCUUCUGUGCCGCAGUCAACACAAUAAGCAUUCCGCCUGGGGAGUACGGCCGCAAGGUUGAAACUCAAAGGAAUUGACGGGG
This 397-nucleotide ribosomal RNA is filed under the name uncultured bacterium. RNAcentral describes it as "partial 16S ribosomal RNA". It matches the Rfam family "Bacterial small subunit ribosomal RNA", at positions 523 to 918 of the family's 1533-position model. The record is from RNAcentral.